UGUGCAGGCGGGCGACCAAGUGGUGUAUGAAAUCUCCGGGCCUAAGUCGGAGCGGUUAUGCCAGACCGGUCGUCUUGAGAGUGAGAGAGGGACAUGGAAUUCCGGGUGUAGUGGUGAAAUGCGUAGAGAUCCGGAGGAACCCCAGAGGCGAAGGCGGUGUCCUGGCUCACUUCUGACGCUCAGCCACGGACAGCAUGGGGAGCGAACGGGAUUAGAAACCCCCGGUAGUCCAUGCCGUAAACGAUGCCAACUAGGCGCUGGGGGUCUCAACCCCCUCGGUGCCGUAGCUAACGCGCUAAGUUGGCCGCCUGGGGAGUACGACCGCAAGGUUAAA
Molecule: ribosomal RNA, 334 nt
Filed under: uncultured bacterium
Lineage: Bacteria
Description: bacterial SSU rRNA
Rfam family: Bacterial small subunit ribosomal RNA
Source: RNAcentral